AGUAAACUAUAUAAACCCCCGCGAUUACGAUUACGUAAAUUAUUAAUUUGGCUGUGAUAGCAGAGUAAACUCUUAUUUGUUUCCCAGGACUGUAAAUCUACCGCCUUAAUACUGGCACCGUAAUUUAUUUAUUUGUAUUACGUAGAGAAUCUUAAUAUACACUAAUCGUGAUAUAACUAUCCCUGUUUACCUUAUAAGAGUAAACAACACUGGCUAUCAAGACAUUUACAUUGGAAUAUUCACACACAAAACAGACAUGAAGCCGACGUAUUUGAUGGUCCUUGGGCUGGUGCUGUGUCUUUCUCUUCUGGUAACAGAAAGCGAUGCCCGAUUGUCAGCCAGACUUAUGGCAAUGAGACACAUCCGCCGACCAUGUGAGACAAAGUGUUUGAGGUCCUACUACGUGUGCCGACGGACCUGUCAGAGAAGUCGAUGGUGUUUCUUCUCUUGUCUGACCAGAUACAGGAGAUGUUCAUCAGCACGAAUCUGUUGAAAAUGUGUAAUCGCGAACUCUGUAACAUGUAUAUAAACAGUAUCAGAACUGUUCUUGAUUCCAACACAGCCUGCAUACACCUAACGCUAAUUAACGAAUGUUGAGGAAAUGAUGAACUGCCGAUAUAAGUUAAGGCGUGUUCUCUCCUAACAUGCCAGAACCCUAAACUUACAACAGUUAAGAUCGAGGUGAACAAUGCAGACGAAGACUAUUUACAUCAUUGUUGUUUUUCUGAUAAUGAAGCAGAGAUGUUUGGAAUGAUCGCUUUCAUGUCCUGACAACUUCCUUGUGAUUUUCCUGAGAAACAUUCAUGAAAAUGCUAAUAGGACAAAAGUGCUUGAUUCGCUUAAUAUUUGCCAUAUCGUUGUAAAAUUUGAUGGUGAUGGACUGUGUUUUGACAACCGUAAAUGACAUGUGCUCAGCUGUAUCAUAGCUUAGAAAGCUUGAAGAAAUAUGUUAAAUAUUUCGCUUGUAAUUGUGAUUACAAUGAAAAUCAAUAACGAAAAUAAAUUAUUCCAAAGUUGAGCGAUAUAUUAUUUUAUUUAAAUUUCGUCUUUGAUAUCAGGAGUGACCCCUGGCUCUAUCAGCAGCUGAUAUUGUAACAUCUCGGAAGAGUCAGAGCGCAAUGUGUCAUCGACAUAUGGAAAUGUACGAUACUGCGCGCUGUUGCUUAUUAAUUGCCUCCCGCAGCAUUUUUGCUAAUUCAAAGGUUUGGCUUCAUUACAAUAGGUUGUUUACUCGAAGUUCAGCAAUACCAGUAUCAGCAUGAAUAAUAUUGUCAUUUGAUUACAAUGAUGUUUGUACAGUUCAUCAUUCUAAUAGCUAUUUAUUACACACAUGUUAGGGAUAUACUUGUAUUUUGUUUGCUCUACAACUGAUCCAUAAUUUGUUAUCCUUUACGUUAAAUGUCAUCCGCCGUUAAUAGAAUGUAAAUGAUUUGGUGUCAACUUUUGUUUCAUUAUAUAACAUAAGAUCAAAUUUAUGUGUCAUAUGUCAAAUUUAUCUACCUCGAAUAAAUAAAAAUGCAAACCUAUGUAAA
This is a long non-coding RNA of Mizuhopecten yessoensis (Yesso scallop), 1532 nucleotides long. RefSeq lists it as uncharacterized. Lineage: Eukaryota; Metazoa; Mollusca; Bivalvia; Pectinida; Pectinidae. The transcript has 2 exons. The record is from RefSeq and is a predicted model, not a curated record.